CAGUCGAACGAGUUCUCGUUGAUGAUCGGUGCUUGCACCGAGAUUCAACAUGGAACGAGUGGCGGACGGGUGAGUAACACGUGGGUAACCUGCCCUUAAGUGGGGGAUAACAUUUGGAAACAGAUGCUAAUACCGCAUAGAUCCAAGAACCGCAUGGUUCUUGGCUGAAAGAUGGCGUAAGCUAUCGCUUUUGGAUGGACCCGCGGCGUAUUAGCUAGUUGGUGAGGUAAUGGCUCACCAAGGCGAUGAUACGUAGCCGAACUGAGAGGUUGAUCGGCCACAUUGGGACUGAGACACGGCCCAAACUCCUACGGGAGGCAGCAGUAGGGAAUCUUCCACAAUGGACGCAAGUCUGAUGGAGCAACGCCGCGUGAGUGAAGAAGGCUUUCGGGUCGUAAAACUCUGUUGUUGGAGAAGAAUGGUCGGCAGAGUAACUGUUGUCGGCGUGACGGAAUCCAACCAGAAAGCCACGGCUAACUACGUGCCAGCAGCCGCGGUAAUACGUAGGUGGCAAGCGUUAUCCGGAUUUAUUGGGCGUAAAGCGAGCGCAGGCGGUUUUUUAAGUCUGAUGUGAAAGCCCUCGGCUUAACCGAGGAAGCGCAUCGGAAACUGGGAAACUUGAGUGCAGAAGAGGACAGUGGAACUCCAUGUGUAGCGGUGAAAUGCGUAGAUAUAUGGAAGAACACCAGUGGCGAAGGCGGCUGUCUGGUCUGUAACUGACGCUGAGGCUCGAAAGCAUGGGUAGCGAACAGGAUUAGAUACCCUGGUAGUCCAUGCCGUAAACGAUGAAUGCUAGGUGUUGGAGGGU
Molecule: ribosomal RNA, 808 nt
Filed under: uncultured bacterium
Lineage: Bacteria
Description: bacterial SSU rRNA
Rfam family: Bacterial small subunit ribosomal RNA
Source: RNAcentral